Molecule: small nucleolar RNA, 114 nt
Filed under: Plasmodium vivax (malaria parasite P. vivax)
Lineage: Eukaryota; Apicomplexa; Aconoidasida; Haemosporida; Plasmodiidae
Description: snoRNA PVP01_0830800
Source: RNAcentral
AUGAACCAUUUCAAUAUGAUGAUAACAUAACCCAGCUCAUCCGAGAGAGACUAAUCGUGUGGAUAAUUUUUCAUGCAUCACAAUCUGAUUGGAAUGGUUCCCAGAAGGGAUGGA